This 462-nucleotide ribosomal RNA is filed under the name uncultured Scutellospora. Its description in RNAcentral is "SSU rRNA". It matches the Rfam family "Eukaryotic small subunit ribosomal RNA", at positions 1351 to 1831 of the family's 1831-position model. Lineage: Eukaryota; Fungi; Glomeromycota; Glomeromycetes; Diversisporales; Gigasporaceae. The record is from RNAcentral.
CUAAAUAGUCAGGCUAUUCUUUGAAUGGUCGACGACUUCUUAGAGGGACUAUCGGCGUUUAGCCGAUGGAAGUUUGAGGCAAUAACAGGUCUGUGAUGCCCUUAGAUGCUCUGGGCCGCACGCGCGCUACACUGAUGAAGUCAUCGAGUACAUAUCCUUUACCGGAAGGUAUGGGUAACCUUUUGAAACUUCAUCGUGAUGGGGAUAGAGCAUUGCAAUUAUUGCUCUUCAACGAGGAAUCCCUAGUAAGCGUGAGUCAUCAGCUCAUGCUGAUUACGUCCCUGCCCUUUGUACACACCGCCCGUCGCUACUACCGAUUGAAUGGCUUAGUGAGACCCACGGAUCGACUCAUGGAAACCUUCACGGGUAUCUAUUUGUUGAAAAGUUGGUCAAACUUGGUCAUUUAGAGGAAGUAAAAGUCGUAACAAGGUUUCCGUAGGUGAACCUGCGGAAGGAUCAUUA